Molecule: small nucleolar RNA, 148 nt
Organism: Lepisosteus oculatus (spotted gar)
Lineage: Eukaryota; Metazoa; Chordata; Actinopteri; Semionotiformes; Lepisosteidae
Source: Ensembl
CUUCAGUGAUGAUACGAUGACGAGUCCGAAUAGGACCCAUCCUGUCUCUUGUGUCCUGGCUGGGGGCCACGUUCUGUGUCCCCGAGUGCAGGGCCCUGAGCAGAGUGUCCUUAUUGUUUGAUGACAUAGAGGCAUUUGUCUGAGAAGG